AUCUCUAAAUACGCCAUCUUCAUUCAAGGUUGCAAUUUUCUCUUUUGAGGAAGACAGAGUGGCUCUUACAAUGCCACUUCCAGGGAGUUGAGAAGUGAGUCAUAGAUGAUAUUAGCCAUGCAUUCCAGGAAUUCACAGUGUGGGAAAAGAUGUAUAAGAAAACUGAUUCAGCCAUGAUGUACUGUCCAUUUCCUGAUAUGGUUUGGCUCCCACUCAAAUCUCAUCACAAACUAUAAUUCCCACGCGAUGAGGAAGGGACCAGGUGGGGCGGAUUCCCCCAUACUCUUCUCAUGAUAGUGAGAGAGUUCUCACGAGAUCUGAUGGGAUAAAACUGGCAGUUUCCCCUGCCUACUCCUUCUCUCCUGUUGCUGGGUAAGAUGUACCUUGCUUUUUCGCCUUCUGCCGUGAUUCCUGAGGCCUCUCCCAGCCAUGUGGAACGAUUCAACAAAGACAUCCAGACGGCUCUGCAUGGUGUUUAGAGAGCAGCCCCCUGUUGAAGCUCUUCGGAUAAAUUCUGUGAAAAGGAAUUGCUGAGCUAAGGGACCAGGAUCCCUUUCAACAACUGCUGAAGAUGCUGGGUCACCCAGGCAACAACCUCAAAACAGAUCCUGUUUUGGAGUGAGAAUUUCCUCUCUAAGUGAUGGCCUGAAAAUUAGCGAAUUUCCAGAACUGCACUCCUGAUGGGUCUUUUCACUUCCUAUCCAAUAUUCAGGCCUAAAAUGAAUCCUUUCUUGCUCAUUUUUAUGGGUGAUAAUGUGUUCCUCCCACCUGGUGCUUCUUUUUAUUUCACUACAGCUAUAACAAGCACUUAUAAGAACAGCAAUCUAGGUUACCUGAAAACCUUUUCCUUGUUAACUUGUCUCAAAAAACUAAGACUAGUGAGAGAAUUGAAAGGCAGUAUCUCAGUCAUAGUUAUAUAAAGCUGCUCUUGAGCAUAUCAUUAACUUUUCCCCCUGGUUUAUCUGUUUAAAAAUAGGAAUGCCAUUCAUUUGUUAGGCUUUGGCAGACAACUCACAGGCCUCAUUAGGGUAGACAUGCUCUAUCCCUUUCCCUUCAUACAAAUGUAAAGCAGUUUACCUUAGAAAAAUGCUAAAUGAAUGAGAUGCUUAAAUAAUAAUAAACAAGUAUCUUAACACUCUGUGAUUAGCACUCAGUCAUGACUAAUGUUUAGACCUCCUCAUUUCUGUCAAAAAUCCAUUUUAUCAGAGGCAGAAAUGGCCUAAAUUAUUUGAUAUGCAUUAGCUAUGAAAAAGACCUCUUGCAGCACUA
Molecule: long non-coding RNA, 1269 nt
Filed under: Homo sapiens (human)
Lineage: Eukaryota; Metazoa; Chordata; Mammalia; Primates; Hominidae
Description: HSALNT0097324
Source: RNAcentral